Molecule: unclassified non-coding RNA, 393 nt
Filed under: Hevea brasiliensis (rubber tree)
Lineage: Eukaryota; Viridiplantae; Streptophyta; Magnoliopsida; Malpighiales; Euphorbiaceae
Source: RNAcentral
GCACAAGUAGCGGACUUGGUGAUAGGAACAGCAUUUACAGCAGAGUUUCAAUAUCUACUGUUGCAUUAUUUACGUUGGCCAUGGCUGCUGCCCCCGGGUUAGGUGCAGUGCCCUUCUUUUUUUUACAGCUGGGUCCUCUCAGUGGGCUGGAUUAUGCAAUGGGAUGGCUGCUGGAGUGAUGUUGGCUGCUAGUUUUGACCUAAUACAGGAAGGGCAGAAUCAUGGUGCGGGUAAUUGGGUUGUGAUCGGGAUUUUAUCUGGUGGAAUUUUCAUUUUGCUUUGCAAGAAGUUUCUUGAACAAUACGGGGAAGUAAGUAUGUUGGAUAUAAAAGGUGCAGAUGCAACAAAAGUUGUUCUUGUUAUUGGAAUUAUGACUCUUCAUUCAUUUGGAGA